GUCUAAGACAACUAAGUUGGAACUAAGUUCCCACUUAAAUCCGUGCUUGCUCAAGGAUGUAGUAUUAGGAAGGAGGGAAGGAUGAGAUGAAGGAGGAAAGGAAGAAGGGAGGCAGAAAGAAAGAAAAGGAAGGAGAAGGAAACAGGAGAUGGAGAGGAAGUAUGGAAGAACCCAGAGCUUUGGCCGCACUCAGACCACAGGAACCAGAGAAGUCUUCCAAGGGAACGGAGAACUCGCUGAGUCAUGGACACCAGGAAAGUCCAAGUCCCUCUGAAAAACAUUGGCAAUCUGAGCUUGGGUGAUCAGAGAUUUCACUCUACUCGACUCAAGGGCUAUGUGACAAUUCCUACCAAAGUAGCAAAUCAAAGCCCGGUGUGAACAGGAAGCAGCAAGCGGGCAGAAAGACGGAUGGGACGAGAUUCUUCCUCCGUGUCUUCUAUGCUUCAUGACUAUCCCGUUUUUCUUCCUGAUGCUGUGACCAAAAGCAAUUUAGGGAAGAGAGGAUUUACUUUGGCCCAGAGACUCGGAGAGACAAAGAGUUCCAUCAGGGUGGAGAAGACAUGGCGAUAGCCAGGGAAUGCAUGGUGACAGGAACAGGGAGAGGACUGAUUGUAUCCCACCACGACGGGAAGUGGGGGGAGAGAGAGAGGGAGGGGGAGAGAGGGAGAGAGGGAGAGAGGGAGAAUCGGAAGUGGGGCCAGGCCAUAAACCCUCGAAGCCCUUCCUUUGAGAAGUUCUUCCCCCUCCAAGGCUCCGCUUCCUAAAGGCUCUAUCAUGCUCCUGAGUACAGCACCACCAGCUUGGGAAUGAGCAUUGAAACAUACAAGCUUAUGGGAGUAUUCCAUAUUCAAACCACAGUGGUCCGCAGCCAGCCUUCAUCUGUUGUCACAAUUCCUCAUUCCGUCUUUCUUGUGCCCUCUGCUUCCAGUAGCUUCUCAGUUUCCCUUUGCUGCCUUCUUGACUGCAUCUACCCUCAGUUUGUCUUCUCUCUUCUUUCUUUCCUAUCUAGAGAUGAGGGCAGAGAUGCACACACAUGCAUGUGCACAUGGGUGUGCAGGUGUACAGAUUGCAUCAGAAUAGACUUGCUUGUACUGAAAUCCAGGGAGAAACCCAUCUGCCCAUUACCCCAGAAGUAGGUUCUAGGAGGGAGAUAGGACGAAUGGGACCCUCACCUAGAAUUCCAUCCUUCUCUCUGUGUGAUUUUCUUUUUUCUAGAUAGGCCUUCCCACUGUGUUUGAUUUCCUUUUUCUUUCAGGAAGGAGACCAAGGUAGGAUGUCAUAAGUGUGUGCCUAUGUCAUCCUCUUCCAUGUGUUCUAAGAACUAAAGUGACAGAGGCCAGCUCUGGACUUAGGCCAAAUUCCCUGAAACACUGUAUCAUCUCACUUCAGCCAACGAUUUUUUUUCCUGACUUAUUUCCCAAGUAACAACCAGCAUUAGGACCCAAGUCCUCUUCCGACACUGUAGGGAUGGAUAAUGGACAGAAGAUUCCACAGAGGCCUUUGAGUGACUCUGAUUUCAUGUAACUUUGGUAACAAAAUCAUUUUUAUUUGAACAAGUAAAUAGACAGUCACUUAUCAAAAAAAAAAAAUAGUCAAGUUUCUUACGGUAAAUACCCAAUAAAUGAAACAGUUAGUCAUAGCAACAUUGUAUGCCUCAUGUUGUGCUUCUAGCUAUAUAAAAUAUCUCCAAAUAGUCUUUGUGAUGAAGGGCCCAGGGUUACCACGUCUCCUUUCUAGUACAUGGUCCCAGUGCAUUAUUGCAGCACCCCAGUGUUCAGACAUAAAUGCUAAAAGCAGCAAGAAAAGGAAAUUUCUAGCUUGAAAUAAAAACAGGUUGGCAGUUUGAGUGUUGAAGUAAGAGGGACAGGCAGUAUUACCUGCUUCAGAGACACCGUUCCCCUUCUUGUAUUUGCACUGAGAACACCUGUGCUGAGAUGGGAUAUCUAUCACCACGCCCCCUUGCUCUGCCACGCCCCUUGCUCUGCCACGCCCCUUGCUCUGCCAUGCCCCCUUGCCCUCAUCUUCCCCUGUUCUCCAUAACUGCUCUGUUCCCUUCACAGAUGUCCUCAGGCUCCUUUUUCACUGCUUGACAACAGUCCAAAGGUAUCACCUGCAGCCUGAGGCACAUCCUCACAACCUUCAAGCCUGUCUCACAAUGUGCAUAAGUUCACUCUCCACCAGCUUUCAUUGCUAAGGGUCUUCUCUGCAGCCUUGCAGACUAAAUGAUCAUGGUCGAAGAAGAUACAUUUUAAUGUAGCAAUCUUGCUCAUUUAAAACAGCGAGAUCAAGUAUCCUGGCAGUGUCGGGCUAAGACAGUGUGUAAAUACAGGGUACAUACUGGCAAAAUGUACUAGGUGGAUCUGUGUAUCACAAUAGAAUAGAUAGAUAAUAUAUAGAUAAUAGGUAGAUAGAUAAGUAUGUAGGUAGGUACAUAUAUGUAGGUAGGUAGGCAAGUAGCAAAUAGAUAGUUGAUUGAUAUAGAUGUUAGAUGAUAAGCAAAUAGAAUAGCUAUUCAGACAGACAGAUUAGAUAGAUAAUAGAUAGAUAGAUUAUAGAUAAAUAGAUGGAUAGAUAUAAAAAGAGAUACAUGCAUGUAUACAUACAUAUAUACAUGCAUACAUAUACCAAAAGAUGGUUAAUGUUGGUUUAUACGUAGUCUAGGUUAAUUUCUUUAUCACGUCAAUGACCAACUUAAUUUUAAUAUUAGCAAAAAGGUACAAUGUUUUGCUGAAGGGCCUGUAUGACUAUUUUUUUUUUUACUCCAUUCCUGUUCUUGAGAUGUACAGAAACUCCACAUUUGAAUCACAGGGAGACUGCAAAACCACACUUGUGGGACUAUCAGUGAGGGAGUUUGUAAUCUACUUCCUACCAGAAAGAUAUCAUACAUGGUCAUCCAGUUUUGAGUCCAUUUUGCCAAGGCACAGUGGGGCUCCAGUGGGUGAAGAUGGCAGGAUGUGAAAGGCAGGGUGCAGAAGGCAGUGAGCUGACCAGGUUGUGGAGCCAGUGAGCAGCUCAGGAUGCCUGAGGUUGGAGAUGGCACUUUCCAACCAACAGUUCUUUGAAUGAUUCUAGACCACAGUGCUCCCCCUUCCCCAAGCUGACCAUGUAUGGGUUUGACUUGCCAGAAUAAAAAAGGCCAUCUGCUCUUCU
RNAcentral lists this long non-coding RNA (3150 nucleotides) under Mus musculus (house mouse). Its description in RNAcentral is "predicted gene 10113". Lineage: Eukaryota; Metazoa; Chordata; Mammalia; Rodentia; Muridae. The record is from RNAcentral.